RNAcentral lists this ribosomal RNA (18 nucleotides) under Candidatus Phytoplasma cynodontis. Its description in RNAcentral is "partial 23S ribosomal RNA". Lineage: Bacteria; Bacillati; Mycoplasmatota; Mollicutes; Acholeplasmatales; Acholeplasmataceae. The record is from RNAcentral.
AAAGGAAUUAAGGGCGUA